UGAGCAAUGGUCAAUACACAGGUGUUGUCCACCGAGCAGCAGUUAACUCAGAGAAAAAGCGCCUUUCCAUUGCCAGUCUUCACAGUCUAGCUUUAGGUAAAAAAGUUAGACCUGCCCCAGCUCUUGUCGAUGAACAACAUAUAUUGUCCUAUAACGAAGGAGGAUUCAGUGAUUUCCUUGACUUCAUUUCUGGAGAAGAUAUUGUGCAGGUAAAGUACAUAGAUAAAUUAAAAAUAAAUCCAUGAUGAUUAUAUAUAGUCCACGGACAGCAGAUAAUCUGUGCUAAAAUCCUAAGGUGUAUAACCAGUAGCCAUUUUUUCUAUGUACUUUGUGCCAAUAUCUAAGGGUGGGUGUUUGGUUCUUCACUGGUGCAUACUGAAUUCCGAACAGAACUAGUUCGAUUCAGUUCGGUUUUUUUCUAAUUCGGUUCGGUUCUUCGGUAUGCGCUUGAUAAGUACUUCUUACUGCAAACCCAAGGUUCACUAAAUCUGGGUUGAAGAGAAACCACCAUCAACGGAGGUAGACUGUGUAGAAACUGGGCUAGAGAUGGUGUGUGCAGCAUCACUUAUGUACACACGUUGUUAUUGUCUUAUAAAGAAACUGGUCUUUAUUCCCUACAUUCAAUCUUUCAUAGCAGUGUCCAACUUUUGCUCUUCUUAUUCUUUAUUGUUUCUAUUUUUUAAGAAUAAGAUUGAAUGUAUCAACAACUCUUGUUCAAAGUUUCCAUUUAAUAAUGAAAAUCCUCUGUUCUUAAAUACAUGUCUCUUGAGCGAUCACUGAUAUAUUUAGAUCAGCAUUAGAAGUUGAGUUUGAGGGAAGAAAAAAUCUUUAAGUGAGCUUGUACUAUAUAUCAUCAAAAUGUUGAUAAACAUGGACAUACAAGUAUAAUUAGGGGAAUAUAUGCCUAGAGAUAUGGUUCACUGAAAGGUCGCUGCAGUAUUCUACACUGAAGCUCCACAAAAUUUCAGUUCUUCAGUUAAGGACCCAAAAACCGAGAACCGAACACCAAAGUCUUAAAAAAUUUAAUACCGAAACCGAAGAAAUGAAUUAAUUUGGUCCAGUUUUUCAGUUAUUAUGCCUCUCCCUACUAAUAUCACUUGAGAGAGGCUCUCCUUUCUUCACGCUAGGGGGAUUUACUGUGAAAAAUAAGAAUAUAAGGAUCCAUAACUUUUGCAUCUCGGUAUAGCAGGACUUGAACUUGCGAUCUUUAUGACGCAUUAUCAGGACUGUGAAAAAGUCCAAGGUUGUACCAACUGAGCUACUAAUUAACAAAAUUAAGACGCAGCAUCAGGAUCUUCAAUAAGUCCAGUGAUUUACCUCAGUUAUCUAACAUCGUAUACUUCAGCAGAUAGAAGCCAGCAACUGGAAAAUUCAAAUAAUUUUCAAAGUGGAAUUAAGUUCUAAGUUCCAACAUAAACAUCUAGUUUGUAUACAUAUACAUCAAAAAUCACCUUCCACGUUUUGUUUAUAUAGCACAGAAGCAGCCAUAUACAUCAAAAUGACCUUCCACAUUUUGUUUAUAUAGCACAGAAGCAGCCAGCAUAACAAAACAGCUCUGAUAUUUUUGAAAAAGUCAACAGCUCUGAUAUUAAUAUAUCGUUUUUUAAAAUUACUUCAGGUUUUCUGUUGAGAAGUUUUCAUCGUAAGCCAACAGGAAGUAUGCCUUCAAACUCAAGUUCCAUGACUGAGGUAAUGCUCACAUAUGAUUUGGCUUAUGUUUCGACAUCCAAGCUGUUUUCCCUCCAACACUAUCCACUCAUUCCAAAGCACCUUCAAACUAACUUGAAAUUGUUGCAAAUCAAGGAAUAAAUUUUCAGGCAUUUACAUAUGAAUUUCUUUAACUAAAUUGGUUAUUUUAUAUAGUUUGUACAACUUACAAACUUGCAAUAUUUUCCACUUCCAAAAGGUUAUCACCAUGCAUAAUCAGAAUCAAUUGUUAAUAUUUCUCUAAAUGAACACAUGCACUUUGUUUAUCUUAAUUGUUUCAAUUUACUUCCAAUUAAUUCCUUAUGUCAGCUCAUGAUAUUUAAGAUUUAGUGAUCGUUAGUACAUAAUUCAAGCUAAUAAUGUACUGUUUCCAUCGUAGAAUAAUAGAUCAUCUCCUUAGAAAUAAGCACAACAUAUCCUCAUAUCUCGUAAUUAAAACAUCAUAUUUUCCCAAUUAUUUAAUCUAGAGAUGGCAAGAUUUCUGUUUUCCCCCAUUCAGAUAGGUGUGGAGAUUAAAUUUUCCUCCUUUAUUUGGAGCAAUUAGACAACUCUCCAAUUAUUUGAACAACAUCAUUGUUUAAUCACAACUACCCUUAUUUGUCCGGUGUUAAAGACUCUCCAAGGAGGAUAAUGGAUAACAGUUAAAAGCCAAAGACAUUCAAUAAUUCGACGAACAAAAACGCAGCACAUUAAUGUAUUUCAACUUUCAAGUAAGUUUAAGUAUUCAUUUUCCUCCUUGAUAUAACUAAGAAUUUUCUAAUUUCUUCAGCUAUUAACACCAUAUUUCUUAGAAAUACAGUUUACGAUGCAAUUUUAAGUGUAUUAAACAAAAUUAUCCCAACAUAUAUUCAGUACUAUAACAAAAAUCAUCUACUUGAAGUUACUAAAACAAUUGCUCGACUUCUUUCCCCUUUUGACGGUCAAAUCUUCUCAACAAAAUAUGAACAGAAAAAAUCAAAAUUGCAGAUAUACAUGAAUCUCACUAUAAUUAGUACAUUACACGCAACAAAAAAAAUCAUCAAAAAUACAGAAACUCUCCACUGUUCCAGGCCAAAAAAAAAACGCGGGAAAAGCACUUACGAUAAUCGAUUCAAAAAAUUAGCCGUCACUCUCUUCCUUCCUUACGUCUCCGCCGGCCAUCGCUAAGCCUCUUCUCCGUCGAAUUUCCUUCCUAACUUAUUCUGAUUAUUUUCAACUGAAGGUGGCUUUCGGG
This 2920-nucleotide long non-coding RNA is filed under the name Solanum tuberosum (potato). RNAcentral describes it as "long non-coding RNA (STUB_LNC002151)". Lineage: Eukaryota; Viridiplantae; Streptophyta; Magnoliopsida; Solanales; Solanaceae. The record is from RNAcentral.